Long non-coding RNA from Ananas comosus (pineapple), 1326 nucleotides. RefSeq lists it as uncharacterized. The record is from RefSeq and is a predicted model, not a curated record. Lineage: Eukaryota; Viridiplantae; Streptophyta; Magnoliopsida; Poales; Bromeliaceae. The transcript is spliced from 4 exons.
UGGAAUGCACGCUCCCUUCAGUCCCUACCCCGCAGCAUGACAAAACUGUGUUCCCUCGUCAUUUUGAGUGUGGAAGAUGCUAUUCUUAUCCGGUCACUUCCAGAUCUGCCUACUUCACUGCGUUGUCUAGUCAUCAACAGCUGUCACCCUGUGUUGAAGGAGCGAUGCCAAGAGAAUGUAGGCCUUGAUUGGCCCAAGAUUGCCAACAUCCGUUAUGCGAGGAUUGAACAUGCAUUUGCAGGUUGUGAUGAUGAUGCAUAUUUAAUUCCUCUCUCUAGGAGUACAAACAAGAUGCGAAGUCUGGCUGAUGAUGAGUUCGAACAUAAGAGAAGCAUGACGAAAGCUUUUUCAGUUUGUUAAAUUUCUUGGUGCAGGGCUGUAGUAAUGGAACAUGCAAGGAUUAGGACUCCGUAUUGGCGCUCGAAUCUAUUUUCCCUUAUCGGGCAUAAAACAGUAUUAAAAUCUUACUACCUAUUCUCUCUUCUUUUUCUUCUUUGGUGCAAUAGUGAAAAAGGCUCUUAUUGUCAUAUAUGACUCGCAUACAUGGUCAUGGUCCAUCAAUUUAUUCAUAAGAAUAUCAAAAAAAAGACUAAUUUCUUACAUGAAUUUGUUGGUGCAGGAUCAGAUUAAGAUUCCAUGUAUUUUUGUGUGUGUGUGUAUGUGUAUAUAUAGCAGCCAAACUAAUGUAAAAUCUUUAAGAAAGAAAUUGCCCUCUUUUGCGGCAGGGCGGUUAAAUGCUUCAAUUUUGUUUCUCCUCAAUUUAGUGUCCGAAUAUUCCCGCGCAAAUAGCAAAUCGCAUAGCCUGGUCAUAAGCUUGUUCUGUUGUUGUCUGUUAUAUGUUGAAGUUGUUGAGCUUCUUUGAGGUAGCUAAAACAUCCAUGGUCUAAACAUUGCUUUAAGAUGUGUUUUCAAUUUUUAUAUAUUUUUUAGCAGUAUAACAAGCACCCAGAUUGAACUUGUGUCCACUCUAAAUUUUGUUAAACCUUUUCAAGUUUCUAAUGCAGGUUGUAUCCACUUUCCGGAGUAAAUUUGACAGAUACUCCGUCGAUAAUACUCAGGCCGACAUCUCAUCGUAAAGCGGGCAUCGACUUGCAACCGCGUCCUGCAGCUGCUUGCGAAAUUCUACUUUCUUUACGAUUUUCCAAAAGAGAAAAAAAAUUAAUUUCCUGAUGCAUUGAACACAGAAAAGCACACUCAAAACUCGAACAGACCGACAACUGUUGCUUAUGUUCAGUUCAGUCUGCAAUCUCUGUAAGGUAAAAUUGUAAUGAAACCUAUGCAAUUAUAGGCCAUUGCGAAAUAGGCCCCUCAACUUCACAAUUUGUU